This 87-nucleotide transfer RNA is filed under the name Aminobacterium sp. RNAcentral describes it as "tRNA-Leu". It matches the Rfam family "tRNA". Rfam says of the family: Transfer RNA (tRNA) molecules are approximately 80 nucleotides in length. Their secondary structure includes four short double-helical elements and three loops (D, anti-codon, and T loops). Further hydrogen bonds mediate the characteristic L-shaped molecular structure. tRNAs have two regions of fundamental functional importance: the anti-codon, which is responsible for specific mRNA codon recognition, and the 3' end, to which the tRNAs corresponding amino acid is attached (by aminoacyl-tRNA synthetases). tRNAs cope with the degeneracy of the genetic code in two manners: having more than one tRNA (with a specific anti-codon) for a particular amino acid; and 'wobble' base-pairing, i.e. permitting non-standard base-pairing at the 3rd anti-codon position. The record is from RNAcentral. Lineage: Bacteria; Thermotogati; Synergistota; Synergistia; Synergistales; Aminobacteriaceae.
GCGGGGGUGGCGGAACGGGUAGACGCGCAAGGCUAAGGACCUUGUGGCCGCGAGGCUGUGGGAGUUCGAGUCUCCCCCUCCGCACCA